CCCAAAAGCAGCAGUUGUUGCUGCUGUUAGUUGUUGUGAAUGUGUUGUUCCAGUUGGCUGGCCUCUCUUUUCAGUUUUGGUGCAGGAAAGGUAAAUGCAGCUUGAUAUUGGCUAAGCCUUCUCCUUCCAAUAGGAACUUCUUUCAAUCUAACUGAUUAAGUGGAUUUCUAUUCGAGUUCUUCCUUUUUGUGUAUACUGCACAAUCUGUGGUAAGUAGGAAGUAUGAUUUGUCGCAUUGGUUGGGUACAUCUCUUCCUAUACUAGACCAUGGAGCGGGAAUGGUGAGUUAUUUCUCAGCAAUUAUAUUCAACAUUUAUAACAUACUAGUUUCUGCUAUGAACCUUGGACACGUCAAGAUAAUGUUGAUAGCCAUCUAGGUACUCAUAUGAACUUGAAGUUGGUGAUCCCACUAUGCUACUCUCCAGUUCUUCCUUUUUGGAUAUACUGCAUAAUCUAUAGUAAGUAUGAUUUGUGGUGUUAGUGGGGUACAUAUCUUCCUAGACUAGACCAUGGAGCAGGAAUGGUGAGUUAUUUCUCAGCAAUUAUAUUCAACAUUUAUAAAUUAUAGUUGACAUUUUUAACUUACUAGCUUCUGCUAUUAACUUCAGUCACUUCAUGAUAAUGUUUAUAGCCGUCUAGGUACUCGUAUGAACUUGAACUUGGUGACACCAAUAUGCUACACUCAAGACCCCAAGCUUGACCUCGAUGGGUAUAGGUUAAUGGAAAGGAUGCACCUGGAUGUAAAGGGUAGAACCCCAA
This is a non-coding RNA of Coffea arabica (coffee), 759 nucleotides long. NCBI's taxonomy places the organism in Eukaryota, Viridiplantae, Streptophyta, Magnoliopsida, Gentianales, Rubiaceae. The record is from RefSeq and is a predicted model, not a curated record.